Long non-coding RNA from Anopheles gambiae (African malaria mosquito), 804 nucleotides. RefSeq lists it as uncharacterized. NCBI's taxonomy places the organism in Eukaryota, Metazoa, Arthropoda, Insecta, Diptera, Culicidae. The record is from RefSeq and is a predicted model, not a curated record. The transcript is spliced from 3 exons.
GGACUAUUAUCCGUGCAAAUCGAUUAACCGGCAACCGUCCGGUGCCGAGCUGCCCGGAUAAUCGACGUUCUACUAUACCUGAUGACGAUGAUAGACGACUUCAGCCGGUAUACCAUCGUGUAUUUGUUAGAGAGGAAAUCCGAAGCAGCUGAAAAGAUAAAGGAAAGAAGGCAUUAAGGCACAAUACACGACAGCCUACUCGCCAUACAAAAAUGGCGUAUCAGAGAGGAAAAAUCGAUCUAUAGAGUAGAUGACAACAACGAUGCUCCUGGAUGCCGGAUUGGAUAAGCAAUACUGGGGCGAGGCAGCUCUAACGGCUGUAUACCUGCAAAACAGAUUACCAUCACGAUCUGUAAGUACUACUCCCUAUGAGCUGUGGUUUGGUCGGAAGCCGGAAAUAGGUCACCUUAAAGUAAAUGGUUGCCCAGCAUACGUACACAUUCGUAACGUCAAUAGAGGAAAGUUUGACAGUAAGGCUCGAAAACUAAUUUUCAUAGGGUACUCGCCAGAUCAUAAAGGUUACCGUUUCGUUAACACUGAGACCGACAAGAUCACGAUUAGCCGGGAUGUAACAUUUUUGGAAGAUGGUAUGAUGUCUACCCAUUGUAAUAGCCCCGUAAAGAAGCAGAGUAAAGUAACAGAACCGUCGCAAGAACAGGAAUGAAAAUAAUGAUUCAAAUGAAAACGAUAUAGAAUAUUUCUUGUCGAGUCCAUCAAAGCGUAACACUACGGAAGAUAGUUCACUCGUAUUUGCUGAUGACGAAAGCGAAAAUGUCGAGUUUUUCGAUGUCGAUAAUAACGAGG